Molecule: ribosomal RNA, 465 nt
Filed under: Vreelandella stevensii
Lineage: Bacteria; Pseudomonadati; Pseudomonadota; Gammaproteobacteria; Oceanospirillales; Halomonadaceae
Description: partial 16S ribosomal RNA
Rfam family: Bacterial small subunit ribosomal RNA
Source: RNAcentral
CCUACGGGUGGCAGCAGUGGGGAAUAUUGGACAAUGGGCGAAAGCCUGAUCCAGCCAUGCCGCGUGUGUGAAGAAGGCCUUCGGGUUGUAAAGCACUUUCAGUGGGGAAGAAAGCCUUGGGGCUAAUACCCUCGAGGAAGGACAUCACCCACAGAAGAAGCACCGGCUAACUCCGUGCCAGCAGCCGCGGUAAUACGGAGGGUGCGAGCGUUAAUCGGAAUUACUGGGCGUAAAGCGCGCGUAGGCGGUCUGAUAAGCCGGUUGUGAAAGCCCCGGGCUCAACCUGGGAACGGCAUCCGGAACUGUCAGGCUAGAGUGCAGGAGAGGAAGGUAGAAUUCCCGGUGUAGCAGUGAAAUGCGUAGAGAUCGGGAGGAAUACCAGUGGCGAAGGCGGCCUUCUGGACUGACACUGACGCUGAGGUGCGAAAGCGUGGGUAGCGAACAGGAUUAGAUACCCGAGUAGUC